GACGAACGCUGGCGGCGUGCUUAACACAUGCAAGUCGAACGGUGAAGCUCCUUCCUUUUUGGUGGGUGUGGAUGAGUGGCCAACGGGUUAGUAACUCGUGAGUAACCUGCUCCCUUCUUCUGGAUAACUGCAUGAAAGUGUUGCUAAUACAUGAUAUUCUUGAUCUGUCGCAUGAUGGGUCUGUGAAAGAUUUUGUUUCGGUGGGGGAUGGGCUCGCGGCCUAUCAGUUUGUGGGUGGGGUGAUGCCCUACCAAGGCGGUGACGGUUAGCCGGCCUGAGAGGGUGGACGGACAGAGAGGGAGUGAGAGACCGAACAGACUCGUAAGGGAGGAAGAAGGGAGGAAUAGUGGACGAUGGGAGGAAGGCUGAUGCAGGGACGCCGCGUGAAGGAUGGAGGCCGUGGGGUAGAGAACCUUUGUAGAGAAUGAAGUAGGUCAGCCUCGUUUGCGGGUGGGUUGACGGUAGCUAGAUAAGAAGCGCCGGCUAACUACGUG
RNAcentral lists this ribosomal RNA (494 nucleotides) under uncultured bacterium. RNAcentral describes it as "partial 16S ribosomal RNA". It matches the Rfam family "Bacterial small subunit ribosomal RNA", at positions 28 to 507 of the family's 1533-position model. The record is from RNAcentral.